AGUGAACGCUGGCGGUAGGCCUAACACAUGCAAGUCGAACGGCAGCACAGUAAGAGCUUGCUCUUACGGGUGGCGAGUGGCGGACGGGUGAGGAAUACAUCGGAAUCUACUUUUUCGUGGGGGAUAACGUAGGGAAACUUACGCUAAUACCGCAUACGACCUACGGGUGAAAGCAGGGGAUCUUCGGACCUUGCGCGAUUGAAUGAGCCGAUGUCGGAUUAGCUAGUUGGCGGGGUAAAGGCCCACCAAGGCGACGAUCCGUAGCUGGUCUGAGAGGAUGAUCAGCCACACGAGAACUGAGACACGGUCCAGACUCCUACGGGAGGCAGCAGUGGGGAAUAUUGGACAAUGGGCGCAAGCCUGAUCCAGCCAUACCGCGUGGGUGAAGAAGGCCUUCGGGUUGUAAAGCCCUUUUGUUGGGAAAGAAAAGCAGCAGGUUAAUACCCCGCUGUUCUGACGGUACCCAAAGAAUAAGCACCGGCUAACUUCGUG
This 492-nucleotide ribosomal RNA is filed under the name uncultured bacterium. Its description in RNAcentral is "partial 16S ribosomal RNA". It matches the Rfam family "Bacterial small subunit ribosomal RNA", at positions 29 to 507 of the family's 1533-position model. The record is from RNAcentral.